Molecule: ribosomal RNA, 400 nt
Filed under: Tannerella forsythia
Lineage: Bacteria; Pseudomonadati; Bacteroidota; Bacteroidia; Bacteroidales; Tannerellaceae
Description: bacterial SSU rRNA
Rfam family: Bacterial small subunit ribosomal RNA
Source: RNAcentral
GAUGAACGCUAGCGAUAGGCUUAACACAUGCAAGUCGAGGGGCAUCGAGGGUAGCAAUACCUGUCGGCGACCGGCGCACGGGUGAGUAACGCGUAUGUAACCUGCCCGCAACAGAGGGAUAACCCGGCGAAAGUCGGACUAAUACCUCAUAAAACAGGGGUUCCGCAUGGGGCUAUUUGUUAAAGAUUUAUUGGUUGCGGAUGGGCAUGCGUACCAUUAGGUAGUUGGUGAGGUAACGGCUCACCAAGCCAUCGAUGGUUAGGGGUUCUGAGAGGAAGGUCCCCCACACUGGUACUGAGACACGGACCAGACUCCUACGGGAGGCAGCAGUGAGGAAUAUUGGUCAAUGGGCGAGAGCCUGAACCAGCCAAGUCGCGUGAAGGAUGACUGCCCCUAUGGG